CAGCGAGGGGGGCCCGGGGGCUGCCCCCCAGCGACCCGCGGGCCAUUUCGCAAAC
RNAcentral lists this non-coding RNA (55 nucleotides) under Pan troglodytes (chimpanzee). The record is from RNAcentral. Lineage: Eukaryota; Metazoa; Chordata; Mammalia; Primates; Hominidae.